AUCAAUAGAAAUCUAAUUCCCUCCUCUCAAAAAGCAAUAAUCUUCUUCCUCCCACCUUCUUUAACCUAAAACAGUUAUCUCAUCCUGUGACCCUUACCGAUCAAUCGAUCCUCACUCUUACUUGAAAAAUGACUCACCUCCCCUCAAAUCGCUUUCACGAGUCUACCUUUGACCAUCACACAUCAACAGGUGUGUGGCAUGUUGAUUCUUUCAGCCUUCAUCCGUAUCAUAUUCUUCAUCGCAGCUGUUGCAACCGUUCUACACCAGCAAUCGGCUCUCCUGGAUUACUUCGAUUACAAUCACCUACAUCACCUUCCAAUCGACCUCUCUUCAUUUGACUUCAAACCGUGGUCUAUACUCUGCUAAUGUCAUCGCUUCUACGGGUGAGAUCACAACACCUGCAGCUAUGGGCCAACAGCCUUUGACUGCUAGCACAAUUAAAGCAAUCUCUUUUAAAGAUGUACUUAAUUGUGUCAUUUGGAUGUGCAUGCCUUUAAUGGUUGAGGUUGGUUUGAUGCAAUUUUUAACUUCCCUUUGGAAACAGUCCCGUUAAAGCAGGUUGAUCCACUAUGUGUUGCUGCCAGACAAGAUGGGAAGAUAUUAGUCUCUAGUCUGUGGGUUGAUCACAGUUUUGAUGUCGGAGCGUCUGUGGAUACAACCUUGGUAAUAUACGUACCGGUGAGAGAUUUGAAUGGGAUUCCAGGUGCAACGUCACUAGUUAUAUGUUUGACAGGAUAUCAACGUGAAAAUCGAGAGGACAUUAUGACCAUGGUUGAAUUGAUGGGGGCACAAGUUUCGAAACCGUUGAUUGCAACAAAGGUGGCUUUUUUACCGAACAAGAUAUUAAGAGCCUACCAUGUUUACAGGUGAUGGGAAUUCUGACAACUAGGGGUAUUGAAAAAACCACCCAAUCUUUUGGCUGAAGAGCUUUAAGUGGUGUCAAAAGAAGUUGAGUAUAGUCAGUUGGCUGAUGUAGCGACAAUAAGUAGUAAGUGCUGGGAACUAUGAAGUGGAAGUAUGACUACUAAGAAAACGUUAACACGGUGAUUAUUUAACUCGCAUGAAGAUUGUGAAAGAGGUCAUGAACACAAUGAAGUUUGGAGUUUUUAUUCAUACACUUGUUAGUUUAUUUGAGUUAUAUGUUUGAUCAUUAGACGUAGAUCGACACUUAUUAGACAUUUGGAAUCUU
This is a long non-coding RNA of Helianthus annuus (common sunflower), 1189 nucleotides long. RefSeq lists it as uncharacterized. The record is from RefSeq and is a predicted model, not a curated record. The transcript has 9 exons. Lineage: Eukaryota; Viridiplantae; Streptophyta; Magnoliopsida; Asterales; Asteraceae.